AUUGAACCGCUAGCUGGGAUGCUUUACACAUGCAAGUCGAACGGCAGCGCGAACUUCGGUUUGGCGGCGAGUGGCGAACGGGUGAGUAAUAUAUCGGAACGUACCCAGUAGCGGGGGAUAACUACUCGAAAGAGUAGCUAAUACCGCAUACGCCCUACGGGGGAAAGGGGGGGAUCGCAAGACCUCUCACUAUUGGAGCGGCCGAUAUCGGAUUAGCUAGUUGGUGGGGUAAAAGCCCACCAAGGCGACGAUCCGUAGCUGGUUUGAGAGGACGACCAGCCACACUGGGACUGAGACACGGCCCAGACUCCUACGGGAGGCAGCAGUGGGGAAUUUUGGACAAUGGGGGAAACCCUGAUCCAGCCAUCCCGCGUGUGCGAUGAAGGCCUUCGGGUUGUAAAGCACUUUUGGCAGGAAAGAAAUCGCAUGGGUUAAUAACCUGUGUGGAUGACGGUACCUGCAGAAUAAGCACCGGCUAACUACGUGCCAGCAGCCGCGGUAAUACGUAGGGUGCAAGCGUUAAUCGGAAUUACUGGGCGUAAAGCGUGCGCAGGCGGUUCGGAAAGAAAGAUGUGAAAUCCCAGGGCUUAACCUUGGAACUGCAUUUUUAACUACCGAGCUAGAGUAUGUCAGAGGGGGGUGGAUUCGCGUGUAGCAGUGAAAUGCGUAG
Molecule: ribosomal RNA, 670 nt
Filed under: uncultured bacterium
Lineage: Bacteria
Description: bacterial SSU rRNA
Rfam family: Bacterial small subunit ribosomal RNA
Source: RNAcentral